Mauremys reevesii (Reeves's turtle) is the source of this 3999-nucleotide long non-coding RNA. RefSeq lists it as uncharacterized. The record is from RefSeq and is a predicted model, not a curated record. The transcript is spliced from 5 exons. NCBI's taxonomy places the organism in Eukaryota, Metazoa, Chordata, Testudines, Geoemydidae.
UGCUGCUGGCAGGGCUAGACCAGCUCCAGAGAGAACGGAUUCAGUCAGCAAGGGCUGCUGACCUGCCCCAUUCACCAGGGCUGCCAUCCUGUGGCUUCAGCAUUUGUCACUGGGGUGACUUGGGGAAAGGUCUCAACCUCCCCACAUCCCACUUCACUGCUGCCAGAAUCCCUCCUGCCCCCCUCCCUGCCCUACCUGGGUGGGGAUGGAGGUCGGGGUGCAGGAGAGGGUUCUACGAACUUGAGCAGUGUCCCUAGGUGGGUUGGAGGUGGAACAGCUGUCAGGGGCACUGAGGGGGAGGUGGCAGGAGCUAACCCUACAAGGAGGGGGGUUGGCACUGAAGGUCACUAGAGAGGACAAGAAGCCUCCAUCCUGGGGAUCAGGAGCGUGAAUCCACCACUCAGACAUGAGCAGCUGAUGGGUGGAAAUGGUGCUGGUUCCAGGUGCCCUUAAUCCUCCCUCAUUCCUGGGCAGUGUCUCAGUCCCUGACAUGUUCUCGUUCCCCUGCAGCUGGAGGAUGUCACAGCCAAGGUGAUGUGCCUGCUCCGCAUCAUCCAGCACUUGCACCAGGUGCCCGAGGCGCUGCAAGGGCUGCACCUCAUCUGAUGCCCUUAAAGGUUCCCCUCCCAUGAUCAGCAACUCCCACUCCCUGCUGCAGGCCCUGGGGGGUGUGACAGCCUCCCAGAUGGGUGCAGUCAGAAGCUGAGCCACCUCAAGGAGCAGUGGGGACAGGUCACCUUGUCCUAUGAAACCAAGCAGUGCUAGUUCUCAAAGAGGCCGAGAGGGAAAACCCCGCUCCCUCAUGGAGCAAGAAGCUCCCCAGGGAUGUCCUCAAACCUGUUCUCCUGGGAGCAUUUCUGGGAGGAGGCUCCGGUCCCUCAGUCUCCAACUCCAUCAUGAAGUCUCAUUCACAUAACAACUCCGCUCUCCAGCUCCACUUCCCGCAGCAGGACAAACGAACCUUCAGCUCCUAGAGACCUGACUCUGACCUCCUUCUGAUCAGCAAUGGGGUUUCACCAUCCCCUCAACAAACCUGUCAGCCUCUGAAUGAUGAAUGUCAGAGUCACCAAAACCAGCAAAACUCCAACUGCAGCCAGUCGUGCCUUUGUGAACUUAGCCCCUCUGGAAACCAGGUCUGAACUGGGGAGGUCUGAACUCAAAGACUCCUAGACUUUAAGAUCAGAAGGGACCAUUAUGAUCAUCUAGUCUGACCUCCUGCACAAUAGAAUCUGACCCACCCACUCUUGUAAUAAACACCUAACCUAUGUCUGAACUAUUGAAGUUCUCAAAUAAUGCUUUAAAGACUAAAGGUGCAGAGAAUCCUCCAGCAAGUGAACCACACGUGCCCUAUACUGCAGAGGAAGGUGAAAACCCCCCAGGGACUCUGCCAAUCUGCCCUGGAGGAAAUAUUCUUCCCAAGCCCAAAUAUGGCGAUCAGCUAAACACUGAGCAUGUGGGCAAGACUCAGCUCAACCCAGUAAGAGCAGGACUGGGCAGAGCAGGUCUGUAACAGGGAAAGGAGAGUGCUUUCCCCUGGUCUGAAGAGCCUGGGGCUUAGCCAAACUGAUUACAGAAUGAGUCCUACCUCAGAGGGACCAUGUAUUGGCCCUGAAAGAACCAGACUUCAGCGUCGAUAAAGCCUAGCUGGGCUAUGAACUGGAAUGAGAACUAGGUAGGAAGUUGAAAGCAGCAAGGAAAGCCUAGAAGGGAACUUGAGAAGAGAGGUAGGAUGUUGAGAAGUCCAGGGAAACCUGCAGCAAAGAGAAAAGAGCAGCCCUAGCUGUUGAGUACAGAGCCCUGGGCUGCUACCAGUGUCAGGGUGGGACCGGGUUCCUCUACUGGCACCAAAGAAGGGAGCAUACAUGCACCCAGAGUGGGUUACCAAACCCAGCAAGGGAGCUGCAGGCUGAGCCAGAGCCCCAGCGAGAGCAAAAUAACAUUUUUCUCUGGGAAGAGCUCUUUGGACUUUCAGUGUAUGACAAGCUGAGCCCCAGAAGCAUGGACUAAAGGUGAUAAGCCGGUCAAAGGGCCGAAUUACCAGGCAGAGAGACUGCCAUGGUGCUGGAGUGACCAUUGAUGGAGGACCAGAGGGCACCUAACAAUGAGUAGAUUCAUUGAUUAUUGGCAUAGUCAGCAGGACUGAAUUCCCCCUGUCAUCCAUGAGGGCUCAUGGAAGUCUUGGUUACUGAAGGAAGGUCCGUCCCCACAAGUGGGAUUUCCCAUUUGAGUUCCAGGGACUGGUUAAGCAGCCAAAGCAGGUCUCGGGGUUUCUCCAGCAGCUCCUAGAAACCCAACAGAAGCAGAAGGAAGUGCAGGCAGAGCUACAGAUGCUGCUGGUAAUCUUGAGGGAGCAGCAGCAAUACCCGUGAGAGAUCCUGCAAAGGGAAAUCAACCUGCUACGUCCAUCGACAAAAAGAGCAGACUCGGCGAGCAUGCUGGGUCAGUGCUGAGAAGGUUAGCCCAGGAGAGCAGUGCAUGAGAAAGUGUACAAGCAUAGCCUAAUGCCAAGAUGGAAACAAAAGUUCUUUGGUUUGGGUGCAGAGAAGCAGGCCAUAUCGAAAGACCCGGCCUGCAUAGGAAAUUCCUGAGUGGCAAAAAGAGGGGCCAGGGCCCCAAGAAGGUAGAAAAAAAGGAGGUGUCGUCUUGGACAAAAACACAUGAAGCAGGCUAGUUGGAGAUGGCAGGGGUGGCCAUGGACCUUGCAGACCAUCCUCCAACACACCUGCCGGGUGCUGCAGGGAGGUGAAGGAUGAAAUGGUUGGCACAGAGAUGAAUCAGUCACGAGAGUUGAGCAGUGGUGUGUGCUCAGACCCUAAUGGAAAAGGUUUUGGGGGAUGCAGCAGCAGUAGAAAAAAGGCUACAGAAGAAGCUUGUGGCUUCAGAAGAAGGCUCUGCAAGCAGUUGUUAAUGAGAAUGAGUAGCUGCAGGAAGAGAAGGAUGGCCUCUGAGUUCUGGUGAGUACGAGGCUGUAUGAGUGCACAGCCAGUGACGGCGAAAAGAUGGUGAGGAAUGAAGAUUGGACAAGAGUAGAACUUGCCCCCGGGUUGGGCCGGAUUUUAAGGAGGAGGGUAUUUCAUAGGGUGGCUUAGCCUGUGGCUGCAAAGCCUGGAGCUAGGCCAAAUUGAUGACCAAGUGAGCCCCACCUGAGAGGAAACAAGGGAAAACAGCAGCAAAAGUACAGAAGCAGCCCUAGCUGUUCAGUAUACGGCCUUGGGCCAAAACCUGGAGUCCAGGGUAGGACUGGGUUCUCCCACCGUCCCUAAGGAAGGGGACAUAGAAGACCAUAGAAACCCAAGAGGGGCAGGCCAAGCUGAAAUCAGGCUGAGGAAGAGCUUCCCACGAGGGUGAAAGGCCUUGUUUCUCUUCAAGACAUUUUUGGACUUUGUUUGGAAGGAGCAUGACCCAGGAAGCAGUGGACUAAAGGGCAGUCACCUGGCUGGAUGGCUGAGUUACCAGCCAACAAACUGCAAGAGUGACUAUCAACGGGGUUGCUAGCCCAGCUAGAAAGCUUUGAGACGAGGCCCGGCCAGGAUCUAGCGACCCUCUGUUCUCCUUCUGGAGUGCCUUGACCCUGAUUGUAACAUCUCUCUUCCAGUCUCUGGCCCAGCCUCUUACACAGAUAUAUGCUGCAGCCAGCCCAACUCAGAGAGCGGUGGGGAGAGAUGAUCUCCUCCUGUCAAACCAAGCACCAUGGGUCCCAUUGAGGCUUAGAUGGAAGAUCCCAUGCAUCUCCUGGAGGGAUCUGUUCAGAAAUGAGGGAUCCCCAGUGGAAAGCUUGUCUAGCAAAUGAAAACAGAACUGGGGGGUGUGGAAGAAACAAACUCCACUCUCAGAUUGGAAGCAACAAAAUCAGAGACAACUUUAUUUGAGCAAUUCCAAAGGAAGAAUACAGCUGGCAGAGAGCAGCUCUGGCUCAGUUUCUCCAAAGUACAAACAAUAUCACACAAGAAUUUAUACAUUUCAGUGGCCUGCAUUAAUUAAAAACGUCUGCAGUCUGUU